UACUCCUACGGGAGGCAGCAGUAAGGAAUAUUGGACAAUGGACGGAAGUCUGAUCCAGCCAUGCCGCGUGAAGGAAGACUGCGCUCAGCGUUGUAAACUUCUUUUGGAUGGGAAUAAUAAUGUCGACGCGAUCGGCACUUGAAGGUACCAUCAGAAUAAGCACCGGCUAACUCCGUGCCAGCAGCCGCGGUAAU
This 194-nucleotide ribosomal RNA is filed under the name uncultured bacterium. RNAcentral's name for it is "partial 16S ribosomal RNA". It matches the Rfam family "Bacterial small subunit ribosomal RNA", at positions 334 to 524 of the family's 1533-position model. The record is from RNAcentral.